RNAcentral lists this ribosomal RNA (492 nucleotides) under uncultured bacterium. RNAcentral describes it as "partial 16S ribosomal RNA". It matches the Rfam family "Bacterial small subunit ribosomal RNA", at positions 29 to 507 of the family's 1533-position model. The record is from RNAcentral.
AGUGAACGCUGGCGGUAGGCCUAACACAUGCAAGUCGAACGGCAGCACAGUAAGAGCUUGCUCUUACGGGUGGCGAGUGGCGGACGGGUGAGGAAUACAUCGGAAUCUACUUUUUCGUGGGGGAUAACGUAGGGAAACUUACGCUAAUACCGCAUACGACCUACGGGUGAAAGCAGGGGAUCUUCGGACCUUGCGCGAUUGAAUGAGCCAAUGUCGGAUUAGCUAGUUGGCGGGGUAAAGGCCCACCAAGGCGACGAUCCGUAGCUGGUCUGAGAGGAUGAUCAGCCACACUGGAACUGAGACACGGUCCAGACUCCUACGGGAGGCAGCAGUGGGGAAUAUUGGACAAUGGGCGCGAGCCUGAUCCAGCCAUACCGCGUGGGUGAAGAAGGCCUUCGGGUUGUAAAGCCCUUUUGUUGGGAAAGAAAAGCAGCAGGUUAAUACCCCGCUGUUCUGACGGUACCCAAAGAAUAAGCACCGGCUAACUUCGUG